UUGGAGGGCAAGUCUGGUGCCAGCAGCCGCGGUAAUUCCAGCUCCAAUAGCGUAUAUUAAAGUUGCUGCAGUUAAAAAGCUCGUAGUUGAAUUUCGAGACCGAUGUAUCGGUCGUGCCUCGGUACGUACUGGUAUCUUCGGUUUCUCCCUUCUGACGAACCUUGAUGUCAUUAAUUUGGUGUCUUGGGGAAUCAGGACUGUUACUUUGAAAAAAUUAGAGUGUUUAAAGCAGGCUCACGCUUGAAUACAUUAGCAUGGAAUAAUGAAAUAGGACGUUUGAUUCUAUUUUGUUGGUUUCUAGGAUCGACGUAAUGAUUAAUAGGGAUAGUUGGGGGCAUUAGUAUUCAAUUGUCAGAGGUGAAAUUCUUGGAUUUAUUGAAGACUAACUACUGCGAAAGCAUUUGCCAAGGAUGUUUUCAUUAAUCAAGAACGAAAGUUAGGGGAUCGAAGACGAUCAGAUACCGUCGUAGUCUUAACCAUAAACUAUGCCGACUAGGGAUCGGAUGAUGUUAAUUUUUUAAUGACUCAUUCGGCGCCUUACGGGAAAC
RNAcentral lists this ribosomal RNA (548 nucleotides) under uncultured Glomeromycotina. RNAcentral describes it as "SSU rRNA". It matches the Rfam family "Eukaryotic small subunit ribosomal RNA", at positions 548 to 1098 of the family's 1831-position model. The record is from RNAcentral. Lineage: Eukaryota; Fungi; Glomeromycota.